This 279-nucleotide ribosomal RNA is filed under the name uncultured bacterium. RNAcentral's name for it is "partial 16S ribosomal RNA". It matches the Rfam family "Bacterial small subunit ribosomal RNA", at positions 506 to 784 of the family's 1533-position model. The record is from RNAcentral.
UGCCAGCCGCCGCGGUAAUACGAAGGGGGCUAGCGUUGUUCGGAAUCAUUGGGCGUAAAGCGUAUGUAGGCGGAUCAAAAAGUUAGAUGUGAAAUCCCUGGGCUCAACCCAGGAACUGCGUUUAAAACUAGUGAUCUAGAAUUUGGUAGGGGUUAGUAGAAUUUCCAGUGUAGAGGUGAAAUUCGUAGAUAUUGGAAAGAAUACCAGAAGCGAGGGCGACUAACUAGGCCAUUUUUGACGCUGAGAUACGAAAGCGUGGGUAGCAAACAGGGUUGGAUA